AUUUAUUUGCUAUUUGAAUAUAUAUUAUUGCCCAGUAAAAUCGAUAUAUUUUCUCAACACAACAUUGUCAAAUGCUCUUAAAUCAUCUUCAUCCUUGUCCAAGAAGUUUGCCACAUCAUCCGAAAAGCUCCCACACUUGGCACUUGCUUGACUAUUAUUCAUGGCAAACACGGAGGAGUUGCCAAGAGAGUUCAGAUAUUCAUCCACUGAUGAUAAAUUAUCUUUAGUAGGCUGAUCAGAAGCAACUUGUUUAGCUGGUCCUUGCAACACCUUUAAUCACUCUGUUGGAAAUAGGGGCAGUAGAGCAGGUGUUUGCUGAUUGCCGGAAUCACUUGCAAUUUCUUUUCCCAAUUCCAAAUUCUGUUGUGUGGACUGAGGCUUCUCAUAAAUAUCCAGAGUAAAGUUGAUUAAUGUAUAGAAAACAAUAAAUAUGUGCAUGUAAAUGUAAAUACAAAUCCCAACAACAUGUGUUAAUUCUUAAAGUAUUACUUGCUGUGCUAUGAUAUUCUGAAAAAAAAAAUUUCCUCAACUGGUGUAGCUGUAGAUUCCCAUAUGCCUGAUCUCUAAAUGCUUUGAUUUGGCAUUCAUGUAGAAUUUUGAAAAAAUUGGACCACAAGAGAGCAUCUUCAAGUUCUAAGGAUCAGCGUUCUAGGAAACAAGGAUUCAAAUCUGUGACGGGAAUGCACAACUGAACCUGGUGUGGGAGACGCUUUUCGGGACCUUGGUAGAGGGUGCCAUUCCUUCAGCUUGGAAAUUCGUCUUCGACUUUGAGGAAGCAGCUUCUGUAGUUAACUAAGUACAUCAGAACAUGGGAAUGUUGUCACUAGCAAGAGUAAAAACAAAAUGGGGUUAAUCAUUCAUGCUUACUAGAAGUUUGUUUUUAAUUGCAACCUACAAAUUAGGGAACGACAAUAUGUAUAGAAUUAGAAUCCCAAAGCCUACUUUACUUUUUAAAUUAAA
This 960-nucleotide long non-coding RNA is filed under the name Olea europaea (common olive). RNAcentral's name for it is "long non-coding RNA (OEUR_LNC007092)". Lineage: Eukaryota; Viridiplantae; Streptophyta; Magnoliopsida; Lamiales; Oleaceae. The record is from RNAcentral.